UUUGAUGACCCAUGCCUCAGAUUAUGGCU
RNAcentral lists this non-coding RNA (29 nucleotides) under Mus musculus (house mouse). Lineage: Eukaryota; Metazoa; Chordata; Mammalia; Rodentia; Muridae. The record is from RNAcentral.